This 479-nucleotide ribosomal RNA is filed under the name Heterorhabditis sp. YNa156. RNAcentral describes it as "eukaryotic LSU rRNA". It matches the Rfam family "Eukaryotic large subunit ribosomal RNA", at positions 358 to 821 of the family's 3401-position model. The record is from RNAcentral. Lineage: Eukaryota; Metazoa; Nematoda; Chromadorea; Rhabditida; Heterorhabditidae.
GGAAAGUUGCAAAGAACUUUGAAGAGAGAGUUCAAGAGAACGUGAAAUCGCUGAAGUGGAACCGGAGAGAGUUAACAUAACUUGGUAGCUAUAUUCUCUAUGGUCGCUUAACUGUGGCUCUGGGGAGUGGACGCUACCUGUUGUUGCACUGACUGCGUUGAUUGUGCUUUCCGAACAGUGUAGUGUUGCCCACUUUGUGGUGUCUUGCUUACUGGGAGGUUUGUCAUGGUUAACGUAUAGCCUUAGUCCCGAGGGAGUCAGUGUGAAAGUUAACCACCUUUCCGACCCGUCUUGAAACACGGACCGAGGAGUGUGAGUUAUACGCGAGUCAAGGAGUGGUGAAAACUCUAGGGGCGGAAUGAAAGUAAAGACUAGUUAACUAGUUGACAUGGGAUCCGCUCUUCGGAGCGGCGCACCAUGGCCCUGUCUUGUCUGCUUGCAGAUGGGCAGCGGUAGAGCGUAUAGCUUGCGACCCGAAA